Molecule: transfer RNA, 81 nt
Filed under: Pseudomonas sp. Boi14
Lineage: Bacteria; Pseudomonadati; Pseudomonadota; Gammaproteobacteria; Pseudomonadales; Pseudomonadaceae
Description: tRNA-Pro
Source: RNAcentral
UGCGCCACCUGGACCAGGAGUUCUCGCAAAUUGGGAGUUUGCGCAUCCAGCGCCAGCAGUUCCUCACCCGCCAUGGCGGGA